CCUACGGGAGGCAGCAGUGAGGAAUAUUGGUCAAUGGGCGGAAGCCUGAACCAGCCAAGCAGCGUGCAGGAUGACGGUCCUACGGGUUGUAAACUGCUUUUGUACGGGAAUAACACGCCGUUCGUUAAGGACCCUGCAUGUACCUUCUGAAUAAGAACCGGCUAAUUCCGUGGCAGCAGCCGCGGUAAUACGGAAGGUCCGAGCGUUAGCCGGAUUUCUUGGGUGUAAAGGGAUCGGCGGCGGGACGUCAAGCCUGCUGUGAAAUGCCCGGGCUCAACCCGGGGCUUGCAGUGGAAACUGGCGGGCUUGAGUGAGGGAGAGGUAGGCGGAAUUCGGAGUGUAGCGGUGAAAUGCUUAGAUAUUGCGAAGAACCCCGAUGGCGAAGGCAGCUAGCUGGAGGGGAACUGACGCUGAGGCUCGAAAGCGUGGGUAUCGAACAGGAUUAGAUACCCGAGUAGUC
This 460-nucleotide ribosomal RNA is filed under the name uncultured bacterium. RNAcentral describes it as "partial 16S ribosomal RNA". It matches the Rfam family "Bacterial small subunit ribosomal RNA", at positions 338 to 795 of the family's 1533-position model. The record is from RNAcentral.